Molecule: long non-coding RNA, 663 nt
Filed under: Chrysemys picta bellii (western painted turtle)
Lineage: Eukaryota; Metazoa; Chordata; Testudines; Emydidae
Description: lncRNA (ENSCPBG00000004495.1)
Source: RNAcentral
AUUGGAAAGCACUUUGAGAUCCUAGCAUGAGAAGGUCAAAAUAUCAUUAAUAAUAACAACUUCUAUUUUCUUCUCCAGGUGCCAGUGCGCAUUCAUUUGUUUUUGAUGUAUUUCAGAAAGUGAAGGACACCAUCGAAAGAGUAUGUGAGCCGCUGAUGUCUCUGAGUCAGGAUUUCAGGAUCAAAUUGCUGGGAACCUUUAAGAGCUUUCUGCAGGAUGGUGAUGUUAUAUCAGAUGUUAAAACUGUGCGGGGGGUCAACCUAAGCACUCAAUGCUGGACUCGUUGGAUGAAAUUCUCCGGCCUCAGGCGGAAAAUUUGCUUCAUGAUUUAGGAGUUUUCUGUGAGGAUCAGAGAGAAGAAUCCCCUUCAUUAUUGCAACCGGUACACUUCCUGUGUUCUUCUUUAGAAGAUCUGGACUUUAGAGUGCUGCCCCUGCUUGUGACCUGCAUAGAGAAGAACAUGGUGGCCAAGCAGCUUGCGCUGGAAGCCAUGGACUAAGAUGUGGACAGAGACUGUGAUGGGUCAGAAUCCACCAAACCAUUGCCUCCACCUCCACUAAAAUAGAUUCAUAGAUUCAUAGAUUCUAGGACUGGAAGGGACCUCGAGAGGUCAUCGAGUCCAGUCCCCUGCCCGCAAUACUUCAGUUGAUUUCUUCCCUACCC